Molecule: ribosomal RNA, 357 nt
Filed under: Triticum aestivum (bread wheat)
Lineage: Eukaryota; Viridiplantae; Streptophyta; Magnoliopsida; Poales; Poaceae
Description: partial small subunit ribosomal RNA
Source: RNAcentral
AUGAUGAGGUCGUACUAUGAGAAAUACGAGGAAGCCAGAAGAACCACCGAGCACUCGGUAUCUCAGCAAGUCAGCGCCAAUAUAGGAUCACCAGUUCUUGGCAAAAGGAGACUGGAAGAAGAGUUUGCUCAAUACAAGUCAAGAAGGAGGUCCUACAUGCAACCAAAGUCUGAGCUGUACAUGUAUUUGGAGGAAAAUUUUGACAGCUCCGGGGGAAGUUUUGAUAUUUUGAUAUGGUGGAAAACACAUGCUGAAAAAUAUCCCGUGCUCUCAACCAUGGCUCGUGAUUUCCUUGCAAUACCUCUUAGCACCGUGUGUCAUCUGAAUCAGCAUUCAGUUGCAGUGGAAGGACUUUAG